This 253-nucleotide ribosomal RNA is filed under the name uncultured bacterium. RNAcentral's name for it is "partial 16S ribosomal RNA". It matches the Rfam family "Bacterial small subunit ribosomal RNA", at positions 524 to 776 of the family's 1533-position model. The record is from RNAcentral.
UACGUAGGGCGCAAGCGUUGUCCGGAAUUAUUGGGCGUAAAGAGCUCGUAGGCGGUCUGUCGCGUCCGUUGUGAAAACUCGAAGCUCAACCUCGGGCUUGCAGUGGAUACGGGCAGACUAGAGUGCGGUAGGGGAGACUGGAAUUCCUGGUGUAGCGGUGGAAUGCGCAGAUAUCAGGAGGAACACCGAUGGCGAAGGCAGGUCUCUGGGCCGCAACUGACGCUGAGGAGCGAAAGCAUGGGGAGCGAACAGG